GGGUUUUCUUUUCUCUCUCGUUUUGAGAGUCGACUCCCGUGUUAGGGUUUCAGCCGUCACUUCUCCGCCUCCCAGAUGUUCAUCUUCUCAUCAAUUAACCCCUUCGCUCUCUCAUCCCCUCAAUUAUUUUACUUAGUUUCAAUAAAACCAAGAUUUAAUCUUGUUUGAGUACCUUGUUAUCAAGGUUGUGUGCCCAUCGUUUUGGGAUGUUAGUGUGUGCCCAUCUUUUUGGGAUGUCGUGUGUUAUGUUUUUCGUAUUUUUAUGUGUCUUGAUGUGUCGUUCGAUCAUCAAUCUGAAAAGGAUUUAUACGGUAUUUUGGGAGAUCGGUAAGACUCGCAUCGAUUUCAGAAC
Molecule: long non-coding RNA, 352 nt
Filed under: Daucus carota (carrot)
Lineage: Eukaryota; Viridiplantae; Streptophyta; Magnoliopsida; Apiales; Apiaceae
Description: long non-coding RNA (DCAR_LNC004664)
Source: RNAcentral